AUGUUUAUUAUACACUACAUUAUUUUAAAAAAAGAAACGAGCUUCAGUUAGUGGUUAGACGUUCGACCGUGCACUUGUAAUUUUAUUUUUUCAAAAAAUUUCCUGAGCAAAAAUGCCGAGAGGAGUGCUAGUGUACCGGAAGAUGUUGAAAAACAUUUUAGAAUCAUAGAUUUUUUGCUUGUGUUUUCAACCAUCGCAAGUUUAGUAAAAUGUGCUCAGUGUGAUGGUUCAAUCGAGUUCAAGAGCUGUAAAAAAGAAGGACUCGGCUUCCAAAUCCAAGUCAAAUGUACAAAUUGUGAUCCACGCUUUAUACCGUCGAGUGAGAAAACUGGUCAUUGCUAUGAAAUUAACACUCGUUUUGCCUUUGUAAUGCGUACAUUAGGUUUGGAUUUAGCAGGCUGCAAUAAAUUUUGCGGGCUCAUGGACAUAGCAAGUAGUUUUUUAUCAAAACAAUCUUAUUUGGAUCUCAUGAAAUCUAUUUGCUGCAGCAUCGAAACGACUGCUGAGAAAUUUCUUGUCUCCGCCGCAGACGAAGAAAAACAGCUAACACGUGCAAAUUCGGAGUCAAACACUUUGACCGUUUCUGUUAAAUUUGCAUUUUAUGUAGCUGCAUGCACAUUCAAUGAAGGUGCUGGUGCUCUUCUAACUUUUCUGUCUGACAUGGACGUCAGUGUCGGCCCAAGCGCUCACGAGUAUGCAUCAUCUACGGACAGCAAUCACAUUGAUAGGGCCGAGUUCCAAGCUGUGCAGCAGAGCAAAGAAGCCAGAAUAAAACGAAGACUUGAAAAAAAAACAGGCUGAAGACAUCGACAAUGCUGAAGGAUGUGUGCUGUAUGGAGCUGGAAUUGAUGAUUCUGUAUAAUUUCCGGCCGAGUUACAGUGAACACCGCAAAUUGUUUUUUUUUUCAAGACGUCCGGGGGGAAGCUCUGUCACGGGCUAAUGGUUUAAUAUUUUUGCAUGAAAAAUUUACAGAACAUAGUCAAAACUAUGCUCAAUAAUGUAUAGAAGGUUUGAAUAAAAUUGCUCAAUCGAGAUUUGAGAUAAAAAAUCACAAAAAAAGUGUU
RNAcentral lists this unclassified non-coding RNA (1065 nucleotides) under Cotesia glomerata. RNAcentral's name for it is "uncharacterized LOC123264657, transcript variant X6". The record is from RNAcentral. Lineage: Eukaryota; Metazoa; Arthropoda; Insecta; Hymenoptera; Braconidae.